UAGGGAAUCUUCCACAAUGGACGCAAGUCUGAUGGAGCAACGCCGCGUGAGUGAAGAAGGGUUUCGGCUCGUAAAGCUCUGUUGUUGGUGAAGAAGGACAGGGGUAGUAACUGACCUUUGUUUGACGGUAAUCAAUUAGAAAGUCACGGCUAACUACGUGCCAGCAGCCGCGGUAAUACGUAGGUGGCAAGCGUUGUCCGGAUUUAUUGGGCGUAAAGCGAGUGCAGGCGGCUCGAUAAGUCUGAUGUGAAAGCCUUCGGCUCAACCGGAGAAUUGCAUCAGAAACUGUUGAACUUGAGUGCAGAAGAGGAGAGUGGAACUCCAUGUGUAGCGGUGGAAUGCGUAGAUAUAUGGAAGAACACCAGUGGCGAAGGCGGCUCUCUGGUCUGUUACUGACGCUGAGGCUCGAAAGCAUGGGUAGCGAACAGG
Molecule: ribosomal RNA, 429 nt
Filed under: uncultured Lactobacillus sp.
Lineage: Bacteria; Bacillati; Bacillota; Bacilli; Lactobacillales; Lactobacillaceae
Description: bacterial SSU rRNA
Rfam family: Bacterial small subunit ribosomal RNA
Source: RNAcentral